CGGGGUGUAGCUCAGUUGGCAGAGUACGCGUCUGGGGGGCGUGGGGUCGGAAGUUCAAGUCUUCUCACCCCGA
This 73-nucleotide transfer RNA is filed under the name Bacteroidota bacterium. RNAcentral describes it as "Bacteroidetes bacterium tRNA-Pro". It matches the Rfam family "tRNA". From Rfam's summary of the family: Transfer RNA (tRNA) molecules are approximately 80 nucleotides in length. Their secondary structure includes four short double-helical elements and three loops (D, anti-codon, and T loops). Further hydrogen bonds mediate the characteristic L-shaped molecular structure. tRNAs have two regions of fundamental functional importance: the anti-codon, which is responsible for specific mRNA codon recognition, and the 3' end, to which the tRNAs corresponding amino acid is attached (by aminoacyl-tRNA synthetases). tRNAs cope with the degeneracy of the genetic code in two manners: having more than one tRNA (with a specific anti-codon) for a particular amino acid; and 'wobble' base-pairing, i.e. permitting non-standard base-pairing at the 3rd anti-codon position. Lineage: Bacteria; Pseudomonadati; Bacteroidota. The record is from RNAcentral. RNAcentral also lists the same sequence under 3 other names.